This 564-nucleotide ribosomal RNA is filed under the name uncultured bacterium. Its description in RNAcentral is "bacterial SSU rRNA". It matches the Rfam family "Bacterial small subunit ribosomal RNA", at positions 79 to 639 of the family's 1533-position model. The record is from RNAcentral.
CUUGCUUCUCUUGAGAGCGGCGGACGGGUGAGUAAUGCCUAGGAAUCUGCCUGGUAGUGGGGGAUAACGUCCGGAAACGGACGCUAAUACCGCAUACGUCCUACGGGAGAAAGCAGGGGACCUUCGGGCCUUGCGCUAUCAGAUGAGCCUAGGUCGGAUUAGCUAGUUGGUGGGGUAAUGGCUCACCAAGGCGACGAUCCGUAACUGGUCUGAGAGGAUGAUCAGUCACACUGGAACUGAGACACGGUCCAGACUCCUACGGGAGGCAGCAGUGGGGAAUAUUGGACAAUGGGCGAAAGCCUGAUCCAGCCAUGCCGCGUGUGUGAAGAAGGUCUUCGGAUUGUAAAGCACUUUAAGUUGGGAGGAAGGGCAGUAAAUUAAUACUUUGCUGCUUUGACGUUACCGACAGAACGAGCACCGGCUAACUCUGUGCCAGCAGCCGCGGUAAUACAGAGGGUGCAAGCGUUAAUCGGAAUUACUGGGCGUAAAGCGCGCGUAGGUGGUUCGUUAAGUUGGAUGUGAAAUCCCCGGGCUCAACCUGGGAACUGCAUUCAAAACUGACGA